AGGGUGUAAAACGCUGCAGACUUGGUGUUGGAAGUCCUUUGGGGGCAUUCAGUGCCGGAGAGAAGUUGUUAAGUCUGCUACUUGGGGAGUACGUCCGCAAGGAUGAAACUUAAAGGAAAUUGGCGGGGGAGGCACCGCAACGGGAGGAGCGUGCGGUUUAAUUGGAUUCAACACCGUAAAACUCACCAGGGAAGACUGUUACAUGAAAGCCGAGAUGAAGACUCUGCUAGAUUUUUCAGAGAGGUGGUGCAUGGCGUCAGUGACU
This 265-nucleotide ribosomal RNA is filed under the name uncultured archaeon. RNAcentral describes it as "partial 16S ribosomal RNA". It matches the Rfam family "Archaeal small subunit ribosomal RNA", at positions 748 to 1008 of the family's 1478-position model. The record is from RNAcentral.